ACGGCCACAUCACGUUAAAAUAUUAUUUCCCGUACAAUCACCGAACUUAAGCAUGCUCGAGCCUGUUCAGUACCUAGAUGGGUGACCGCUUAGGAAUACCAGGUUCUGUAAG
Molecule: non-coding RNA, 112 nt
Organism: Acanthosepion pharaonis
Lineage: Eukaryota; Metazoa; Mollusca; Cephalopoda; Sepiida; Sepiidae
Source: the annotation of a GenBank genome assembly